This 1353-nucleotide long non-coding RNA is filed under the name Oryctolagus cuniculus (rabbit). RNAcentral's name for it is "lncRNA (ENSOCUG00000036564.1)". The record is from RNAcentral. Lineage: Eukaryota; Metazoa; Chordata; Mammalia; Lagomorpha; Leporidae.
AAUUAACACCGGACGACUCCUCAGCCGCCGGACGGCCCGGCAGCAGAGCCCUUUUUGCGGGAGGAAGGGCUGCAAGUCCCGCUUCCGCUUCCGCGCCGCUUCUAACCCGACAGCGGAAGUGCCGGGACCCCUAUAAACGGCACAAGGAAGCGCGACACGCACACGCCGUCGCGACGCCACGCUGCCAUCUAGGGCCCGCCGCUCCUUGUACGGGCACAGGAGGUGGGGCCUGCUGCCUGACGUCGAAGUCGAGGCGGGGCUCCGAUAGGGGGAACCUGGGGCUGGGGGCGGGGCCUAUGCAAAUCGCUGGGCUGAAACAUAAAUAGAGCACUCCGCGGACACGGGGGUGGCGGGGGCGGCCGGGUUGGAUGCGCGGUGGGUUGUGAGAAUGUCAGGCUCCUGUGACGCGGGAGGCGGGGCCCAGGCGGGGUUCCCGCGGGAGGGGGCGGGCCGCCGGGCCGGGCCUGAGGUGGGUGGGUCCCUGCGCCCCCUGCCUGCUCAACUUCCCUCUCCAGCUCCCGGCUCGUCUUUGAUGUCCGACAAAGUCUGACCCUGGGCGUAUGUGUCUGUGGCUCUAUAGGCCUGUGUCCUGGACGAGGUACUUGACAAACUGUGCUGGAACCUGCCUCAUCUCCUGCCACCUCAGAGCUUUCAGGUCCUCUGAAGACUACGUCUGGAAGGCCUCCCAGCUGCCUGCACACAUGCAGGGACAAGGCAUGGAGUAUUCAAGCGCCUUUUGGAGCAAGCUUUUCACCAUCUUGUACUGCCUGACUCAGAAGAUAAGAAUGAGGGGAUCUCAGUCUUUUGACGAUGUGCCAGCUGUGCUGUACAGGAAGGGAGAGAAUGAGCGGAGCUGCCGGAGGAGGGAUGUGCAGUCGAGUGUAGGAAGAACUGCCGCUGCCAGCCUCCACGUGCUGGAGGAGCUCACGGAAGGAGCUGCAGGGUCCCCACAGGCAGACUUCUCACCCGCAUCGACCGAGCACCUUCUGGAGAUUCCCUGCAACCCAUAAGAAGAUUCAGAAGGCCCACAGUCCUGGAUCUGUCUACCUAAAAGAAUCAAUUUUAAAAAUUAAAAAUUGUGCUGGGGACUGGUAUUGUGGCGCGGUGGGUUAAACCGCCACCUGCAGUCAGCAUCCCAUAUGAACACUGGUUUGAGUCCUGACGGCUCCGCUUCUGAUCCAGAUCCCUGCCAAUGUGCCUGGGAAGCAGCAGAGGAUGGCCCAGGUCCCUGGGCUCCUGCCACCUAUAUGGGAGGCCCAGACCCAGCUAUUGCCCUUUUAGGAGUGAACCAGAGGAUUGAAAAUCUCUCUCUCUUCUCUCUCUCUAACUCUGCCUUUCAAAUAAACGAAUAAA